Molecule: small nuclear RNA, 18 nt
Filed under: Arabidopsis thaliana (thale cress)
Lineage: Eukaryota; Viridiplantae; Streptophyta; Magnoliopsida; Brassicales; Brassicaceae
Description: snRNA_11819
Source: RNAcentral
CGUGGCCUAUCGAUCCUU